This is a long non-coding RNA of Mirounga angustirostris (Northern elephant seal), 3279 nucleotides long. RefSeq lists it as uncharacterized. Lineage: Eukaryota; Metazoa; Chordata; Mammalia; Carnivora; Phocidae. The transcript has 7 exons. The record is from RefSeq and is a predicted model, not a curated record.
CGGGCCGCUUCUGGCCCGGCGCGCUCUGCGGCCCACGUGGUGCGGCGGCGAGUUGGCCGGGCGCCUGGCCUCGCGCCCCAGCCCAUUGUGUGCUGGCCCCGGGGCUUCACCCGCGGCCGCCGGCCGCCCCCGCCCCGCCCCGCCCGUGCGCGCGGGCCGUGCUCUCCCUCGGGAAGCUCGGGUGGCUGCCUCGGCACGCUCCGACGGCCCCUCCUGGGGCUGGCCCGGGACCCUGCGCCCGGCUCGCUGCGCUGCCUGCUGUCGCUUCGCAUUUUGUGCUCCAGACCUGGCAGGGCCCCCGGAGGCCUGCUUCGCUUGGCCCCACUCCGACACCCUCUUCCUGGGCAAAGGGUCGCCCGCCUACACCAAAGACUGGGAAGAUCUGAUGACUGUGGGCUUUUAUUUGUUUGUGGCACCAGGCACUGGAGCGGAGUAUCAACCCCCUCGGGCCAUGCUGGGCUCCAUGGCCCCCACCUCUCCCUGCUGACUUACAUACAGCCUUUUCCUCUCUAAGGAGCCAGGAUGGCCACUGGAGAGAGAGAAAGAGCAAACAGGGGCAGAGGGGGAGAAUCUCAAGCAGGCUCCCCGCUGAGCUUGGAGCCCGACGUGGGGCUCGAUGGUCCCUGAGACCAUGACUUGAGCUGAAGCCAAAGUCUGACGCUCAACCAACUGAGCCAUCCAGACUUCAUUUAUUUACUUGAGAGGGAGAGAUAGAGCACGAGCAGGAUGGAGCGGCAGAGAAGAGGGAGAAGCAGGCUCCCCACUGAGCAGUGAGCCUGAGGAGGGACUUGAUCCCAGGACCCUGGGAUCAUGACCUGAGCUGAAGGCAGAUGCUUAACUGACUGAGCCACCCAGGUGCCCUGUUUCUUCGGGCCUAGAAUUCAGAAGUGGCUUAUCCGGACAGUUCUGGCUCUGGGUCUCUCCUAAGUUUGCAGUCACGAGACUGGCUGGGCUCACAGUCCGCUGAGGGCUUCACUAGGCUGGAGGAUCCAUUCAAAGGGUAAAUACCUAGGAGUGGGAUUGCAGCAUUGCAUGGGAAGUAUAUGUAUGUUUGCAGGGUUGUGCAACCAUCACCACUAUCGAAUUCUGGAACAUUUUCUUCAUCCCCCAAAUAAACGCCAUACGCAUUAGCAGUCACUCCCCAUCCUCUCUUCCCCCAUGAAUCUACUUCCUGUCUCCGUGGAUUUGCCUGGACCCUUCAUGUACACAGAAUCAACACGUGAGCUCUUCUGUCUGGCUUCUUUCUCUUAGCCUAGUGUUUUCAUCCUUGUUGUAGUGUGCAUUAGUAUUUCACUCCUUCUUAAGGCAGAGUAAUAUUCCAUUGUGUGGACAUGCCAGAUGUUUACGCAUUCAUCCACCGAUGGACAUUUGGGUUGUUCCCACUUUUUGGCUCCUAUGAACUCCACCUGCGAGUUUCCGUGUGUAUGUAUGUUCUCAUUUCUCCUGUUCAUAUACCUGAGAGAACUGCAGAAUCAAAUGGUAACUCUGUGUUUAACAUUUUGAGCAACUGCCAAAUUGUUCUACACUGUAGCUGCGUUAUUUUAUAUUCACAUCAGCAUGUGUUCCAAUUUCUCCACAUCCUCUCCCACACUCCUUUUCUUUCUUUCAAAAGAUUAUGGUCAUCCUGGUGGGUGUGAAGUGGUGUAUCGCUGUGGUUUUUCCAUGGAUUGAUUAAAAUAUUGGGACUGCUGGGCGCCUGGGUGGCUCAGUUGGUUAAGCGACUGCCUUCGGCUUGGGUCAUGAUCCCAGGGUCCUGGGAUCGAGUCCCGCAUCGGGCUCCCUGCUCUGCGGGGAGCCUGCUUCUCCCUCUCCCACUCCCCCUGCUUGUGUUCCCUCUCUCGCUGUGUCGCUCUCUGUCAAGUAAAUAAAUAAAAUCUUUAAAAAAUAAAAAUAAAAAUAAAAUAAAAUAUUGGGACUGCUAGUACAUUCCUGGCAUAAAGCCUGUGUGGUCAUAGUAUAUUGUUUUUAGACAGCCCUAGAUUCUAUCUGCUAAUACUUCGCCGAAGACUUUUGCUUUUCUAUUCCUGAAUGAUAUUGAUGUGAAAUUGUUCUCUUCUUAUCCUGUAUCUGAUUUUGGUGUCAGGGUAAUUCUGAGCUCAUAAGACGAAUUAAGGAGUGCUCCCUUCUCUUCUAUUUUCUAGAAGAACUUGUGUAGAAUUCCUCCUUUAAAUUUGCCAGUAACACCUUCUGGGCCUGAAGUUUUCCUUUUCUGAAUGUUUUGAACUAUAAAUUCAGUUCAUUUGGUAAAUAAACAAUCGAUCACAUUUUCUAUUUCUUCUUUGGUGAGUUUUGGUUGUUUGUGUCUUUUAAGCCAUCUGCCCACCUCAUCACCAUUUAAAACUUCUGUGCAUCAAAGGACACUGUCAAGACAGUGAUGAAAAUGUUCUAAAAUUAAACUGUGGUGUGGUCGCAGAACUCUGUGAAGAUAUUAGAAACUAUCUUGUAAGUAGGUGACUUGCAUGUGAAUUGUAUCUCAUUAUAAGGGUUAAAAAAUCGAAUUAUGACAUGAGAACCGGUUUGGGGAAGUGAGGAACACAGCAGCUCUGGGUAUUUUCUUCUUUGCUUCUGUGUCCAUCAACUAACUUCCCCCCCACCCCGCCACUUCCCUUAUUUGAUGUAAACGUAUUGAUGAGGAUGGUGAACUUCAUUAUUUAAGUUACACAACACUCAAGGGGAGUCCGAGUGGUGGAUAUGGUGACCCCAGCAUGCUGCUGUCCCUCCCUUUUAGGAAGAGAACGAUGGGUGCACAAAGAAUCCUCACUCCUAGUUGGGGGGAAGCACAAAGCUGUUAGAGUCAUAUGGAAAUCGAAUACAGGAGAAAGAUGUGUACAUGUGACGAGCAGCCAAAGAGGUGGACUGGGCUGGUUACUCUGUCUCAGGCCCACACCCACUCCAUUCUCUGUGAUGCUGUUGCUGGACAGCUGAAAACUACAUUUCCCAGGCUUCCCUGGCAGCAGGGGGAGACCUGGAAGUGAAACAAGCUAAGGGACUUUCUCGUUCUUGUGCUCUCCCACACUAGUCAGCAGUGGCAGAUUUGGGCUCCAGCAAUGACCAUUUUUGCACCCACCUUCUUAGAAGUUCCAGCAUCAACUGCUUAGAAUCCAGCCUUUCCCCCCACAACACACAUCAAAGAUCCAAGCACUGCAGGGGCGCCUGGGUGGCUCCGUCGGUUAAACGCCAGACUCUUUGAUUUUGGCUCAGGUCAUGAUCUCAGGGUCGUGAGCUCCCUGCUGGGUGUGGAGCCUGCUUAAGAUUCUCUCUCCCUCUGCCCCUCCCCUG